AGACCUGGGAUGGGGAGGCAGUGGGAGGAAACAGGUUGUCCAGCAACAUCAACGGAGGGUGGAGCAACUGCAGUUCACCACCUGAUCCGACCACAGCAUCCUUGAGGCUCCCAGCUCCCUGCUCGCCUUUAUGGAGCUGGUACAGUAGCAGGCAAGGGCCACCCAGGGCGUGGGACCCAUCCUGGUGCACUGCAGGUGACAGCAGCUCCUCAGGGGCUGUCCCUGCGGUGUGGGCAUGGGCCGGACAGGCACCUUCGUGGCCCUGUCGAGGCUGCUGCAGCAGCUGGAGGAGGAGCAGAUGGUAGACGUGUUCCAUGCUGUGUAUGCACUCCGGAUGCACCAGCCCCUCAUGAUCCAGACCCUGAGCCAGUACGUCUUCCUGCACAGCUGCCUACUGAACAAGAUUCUGGAAGGACCCUUCAACAUCUCUGAGUCUUGGCCCAUCUCUGUGACGGACCUCCCGCAGGCGUGUGCCAAGAGGGCAGCCAGUGCCAAUGCUGGCUUCUUGAAGGAGUACGAGCUCUUGCUGUAGGCCAUCAAGGACGAGGCUGGCUUUUCCGCACCCCCGCCUGGCUAUGAGCAGGACAGCCCCGUCUCCUGUGACCGUUCUCAGGGGCAGUUUUCUCCGGUGGAGGAGAGCCCCCCUGACGACAUGCCCGA
This 660-nucleotide long non-coding RNA is filed under the name Homo sapiens (human). Its description in RNAcentral is "non-protein coding lnc-CENPP-20:2". The record is from RNAcentral. Lineage: Eukaryota; Metazoa; Chordata; Mammalia; Primates; Hominidae.